Molecule: ribosomal RNA, 253 nt
Filed under: uncultured bacterium
Lineage: Bacteria
Description: partial 16S ribosomal RNA
Rfam family: Bacterial small subunit ribosomal RNA
Source: RNAcentral
UACGGAGGGUGCAAGCGUUGUUCGGAAUCACUGGGCGUAAAGCGCGUGUAGGCGGCUAUCUAAGUCUGAUGUGAAAGCCCUGGGCUCAACUCAGGAAGUGCAUUGGAUACUGGAUAGCUGGAGUACCGGAGAGGAGGGUGGAAUUCCUGGUGUAGCGGUGAAAUGCGUAGAUAUCAGGAGGAACACCGGUGGCGAAGGCGGCUCGCUGGGCCGUUCCUGACGCUGAGACGCGAAAACUAGGGGAGCGAACAGG